Molecule: non-coding RNA, 90 nt
Organism: Colinus virginianus (northern bobwhite)
Lineage: Eukaryota; Metazoa; Chordata; Aves; Galliformes; Odontophoridae
Source: Rfam
GGUCCCUAACUAUUGCGAACACCUGUAUGAAGCCGCCCGCUGGUCGGUAAAGGCUUCAUUUGGUGCCCCCCGACGUGAUAGUUAGGGAAU